RNAcentral lists this ribosomal RNA (601 nucleotides) under uncultured bacterium. RNAcentral describes it as "bacterial SSU rRNA". It matches the Rfam family "Bacterial small subunit ribosomal RNA", at positions 735 to 1340 of the family's 1533-position model. The record is from RNAcentral.
CGCCACUGACGCUGAGGCACGAAAGCGUGGGGAUAGAACAGGAUUAGAUACCCUGGUAUUCCACGCCGUAAACGAUGAUGGCUAACCGCCGGCGACACAUUGUCGGUGGCCAAGCGAAAGCGAUAAGCCAUCCACCUGGGGAGUACGACCGCAAGGUUGAAACUCAAAGGAAUUGACGGGGGCCCGCACAAGCGGAGGAACAUGUGGUUUAAUUCGAUGAUACGCGAGGAACCUUACCCGGGCUCGAACGGCAAAGGAAGGAUCAGGAGACUGUGACGCCCUUCGGGGCCUUUGUCGAGGUGCUGCAUGGUUGUCGUCAGCUCGUGCCGUGAGGUGUCGGCUCAAGUGCCAUAACGAGCGCAACCCUUGCCGUCAGUUGCCAUCAAGUAGUGUUGGGGACUCUGGCGGGACUGCCACCGCAAGGUGUGAGGAGGGGGGGGAUGACGUCAAAUCAGCACGGCCCUUACGUCCGGGGCGACACACGUGUUACAAUGGCGGCCACAGAGGGAAGCUACCCCGCGAGGGGAUGCGGAUCUCGAAAAGCCGUCCCAGUUCGGAUCGCAGUCUGCAACCCGACUGCGUGAAGUUGGAUUCGCUAGUA